RNAcentral lists this transfer RNA (69 nucleotides) under Hexanchus griseus. Its description in RNAcentral is "tRNA-Pro". It matches the Rfam family "tRNA". From Rfam's summary of the family: Transfer RNA (tRNA) molecules are approximately 80 nucleotides in length. Their secondary structure includes four short double-helical elements and three loops (D, anti-codon, and T loops). The record is from RNAcentral. Lineage: Eukaryota; Metazoa; Chordata; Chondrichthyes; Hexanchiformes; Hexanchidae.
CAGGGGACAGUUUAGGUAGAAUCUCAGCUUUGGGAGCUGAGGGCAAGAGUUUGACUCUCUUUCCCUUGA